UGGGCAUUAGCUCAAUUGGUUAGAGCACUCAACUUAUAAUUGAGAGGUUUUGAGUUCGAUCCUCAAAUGCCCGACCA
RNAcentral lists this transfer RNA (77 nucleotides) under Erysipelotrichia bacterium. RNAcentral describes it as "tRNA-Ile". It matches the Rfam family "tRNA". From Rfam's summary of the family: Transfer RNA (tRNA) molecules are approximately 80 nucleotides in length. The record is from RNAcentral. Lineage: Bacteria; Bacillati; Bacillota; Erysipelotrichia.